Molecule: transfer RNA, 72 nt
Filed under: Ovis aries (sheep)
Lineage: Eukaryota; Metazoa; Chordata; Mammalia; Artiodactyla; Bovidae
Rfam family: tRNA
About the family: Transfer RNA (tRNA) molecules are approximately 80 nucleotides in length. Their secondary structure includes four short double-helical elements and three loops (D, anti-codon, and T loops). Further hydrogen bonds mediate the characteristic L-shaped molecular structure. tRNAs have two regions of fundamental functional importance: the anti-codon, which is responsible for specific mRNA codon recognition, and the 3' end, to which the tRNAs corresponding amino acid is attached (by aminoacyl-tRNA synthetases). tRNAs cope with the degeneracy of the genetic code in two manners: having more than one tRNA (with a specific anti-codon) for a particular amino acid; and 'wobble' base-pairing, i.e. permitting non-standard base-pairing at the 3rd anti-codon position.
Source: Rfam by way of RNAcentral
UCCCUGGAGGUCUAGUGGCUAAGACUCUGCUUUCCAAAUGCAGGGUCCAGGGUUUGAUCCCUGGUCAGGGAA